Molecule: unclassified non-coding RNA, 90 nt
Filed under: Pseudomonas prosekii
Lineage: Bacteria; Pseudomonadati; Pseudomonadota; Gammaproteobacteria; Pseudomonadales; Pseudomonadaceae
Source: RNAcentral
GUAGGAGCAAAGCUUGCUCGCGAUAGCGUCAGGUCAGACAGGAUUGGGUCUGAAUCCUGGACCGCUAUCGCGAGCAAGCUUUGCUCCUAC